Molecule: transfer RNA, 85 nt
Filed under: Felis catus (domestic cat)
Lineage: Eukaryota; Metazoa; Chordata; Mammalia; Carnivora; Felidae
Rfam family: tRNA
About the family: Transfer RNA (tRNA) molecules are approximately 80 nucleotides in length. Their secondary structure includes four short double-helical elements and three loops (D, anti-codon, and T loops). Further hydrogen bonds mediate the characteristic L-shaped molecular structure. tRNAs have two regions of fundamental functional importance: the anti-codon, which is responsible for specific mRNA codon recognition, and the 3' end, to which the tRNAs corresponding amino acid is attached (by aminoacyl-tRNA synthetases). tRNAs cope with the degeneracy of the genetic code in two manners: having more than one tRNA (with a specific anti-codon) for a particular amino acid; and 'wobble' base-pairing, i.e. permitting non-standard base-pairing at the 3rd anti-codon position.
Source: Rfam by way of RNAcentral
GCCUGGGUGGCUCAGUUGGUUGAGUGUCUGACUUUGGCUCAGGUCAUGAUCUCACAGUUCGAGAGUUCAAGCCCCACAUCAGGCU